GAUGAACGCUGGCGGCGUGCCUAAUACAUGCAAGUCGAGCGAACAGACGAGGAGCUUGCUCCUCUGACGUUAGCGGCGGACGGGUGAGUAACACGUGGAUAACCUACCUAUAAGACUGGGAUAACUUCGGGAAACCGGAGCUAAUACCGGAUAAUAUAUUGAACCGCAUGGUUCAAUAGUGAAAGACGGUUUUGCUGUCACUUAUAGAUGGAUCCGCGCCGCAUUAGCUAGUUGGUAAGGUAACGGCUUACCAAGGCGACGAUGCGUAGCCGACCUGAGAGGGGGAUCGGCCACACUGGAACUGAGACACGGUCCAGACUUCUACGGGAGGCCGCAGUAGGGAAUCUUCCGCAAUGGGCGAAAGCCUGACGGAGCCACGCCGCGUGAGUGAUGAAGGUCUUCGGAUCGUAAAACUCUGUUAUUAGGGAAGAACAAAUGUGUAAGUAACUAUGCACGUCUUGACGGUACCUAAUCAGAAAGCCACGGCUAACUACGUG
Molecule: ribosomal RNA, 497 nt
Filed under: uncultured bacterium
Lineage: Bacteria
Description: partial 16S ribosomal RNA
Rfam family: Bacterial small subunit ribosomal RNA
Source: RNAcentral